Molecule: ribosomal RNA, 255 nt
Filed under: uncultured bacterium
Lineage: Bacteria
Description: partial 16S ribosomal RNA
Rfam family: Bacterial small subunit ribosomal RNA
Source: RNAcentral
UACGAAGGGGGCUAGCGUUGCUCGGAAUCACUGGGCGUAAAGGGUGCGUAGGCGGGUCUUUAAGUCAGGGGUGAAAUCCUGGAGCUCAACUCCAGAACUGCCUUUGAUACUGAAGAUCUUGAGUUCGGGAGAGGUGAGUGGAACUGCGAGUGUAGAGGUGAAAGUUCGUAGAUAUUCGCAAGAACACCAGUGGCGAAGGCGGCUCACUGGCCCGAUACUGACGCUGAGGCACGAAAGCGUGGGGAGCAAACAGGG